AUUGAACGCUGGCGGCAUGCCUUACACAUGCAAGUCGAACGGUAACGGGCCUUCGGGUGCCGACGAGUGGCGAACGGGUGAGUAAUACAUCGGAACGUGCCCGAUCGUGGGGGAUAACGAGGCGAAAGCUUUGCUAAUACCGCAUACGAUCUACGGAUGAAAGCAGGGGACCGCAAGGCCUUGCGCGGACGGAGCGGCCGAUGGCAGAUUAGGUAGUUUGUGGGAUAAAAGCUUACCAAGCCGACGAUCUGUAGCUGGUCUGAGAGGAUGAUCAGCCACACUGGGACUGAGACACGGCCCAGACUCCUACGGGAGGCAGCAGUGGGGAAUUUUGGACAAUGGGCGCAAGCCUGAUCCAGCCAUGCCGCGUGCAGGAUGAAGGCCUUCGGGUUGUAAACUGCUUUUGUACGGAACGAAAAGCCUUCUUUUAAUACAGGAGGGUCAUGACGGUACCGUAAGAAUAAGCACCGGCUAACUACGUG
RNAcentral lists this ribosomal RNA (482 nucleotides) under uncultured bacterium. Its description in RNAcentral is "partial 16S ribosomal RNA". It matches the Rfam family "Bacterial small subunit ribosomal RNA", at positions 30 to 507 of the family's 1533-position model. The record is from RNAcentral.